GGGGCGUGUCCGCGCCGAGCUGCCCGCCGCGGGCUCCGCUCACCCUCGAGGCGGCCCCGGGCGCGGGGUCAGCUCAGAGGCCACCGGCGCUCAAGUCCCCGCGCUCCGGGCGCCGGUGCGCAUCGCCGGGAGGGCGGGCAGAUAGGCUGCACGCCCAGCGAGGCGCUCGCCGUGGGGCCCGAACUCCCAACCCUGAGGCCGAGGCAGGCCUCAGAGGAGCCGCGUGGACGCUUCCAGCUACUUGGUAAACUCCGAAAACGGAGGAGAACAUGACGGUGAAGCGAACCGCGAGUGUUAGGAUCCUGCGAAUCAGAGCCAGGGGAGCAUGUGGAUCCUGGAGCCGGACUCGCCAAGCACGUAGGCUUCCAGCCCCAACAGCCUGCUUCUAAAGUGCCGUCGCCGCUGCACCUCCAGUUUCUCGGGACCCCGACCGUCCCUUCUGUGGGCUCCUUGUCCUUCGUCCUCAUGGGUGUCCCGAGUCCCCCGACCUUGCCUCCCUCCAGCAGGCCGGUGACCUCUCCCGCGCCUCCCGCCUCAGUGCCCGGCUUGGCUUCACGGCCCAGCAGCCGGCCACACCGUUGCCACGGCAAGGACCUCGAGAACCUUCCUUGAGCAAAGGCCCGGCGUCUGGAGGGAGCUUGCGGCUUCAAGUAAAAACGGCUCCUUUUGUUUUGUAAAGACCGACUCCUCUGUCAAACACCGGGGCUCACUUGUUCCCCAGAUUUUGUUAGUAUUUUGUAAUUUUGAUUCAUGUGUUUGAUGCUAAGUCAUUUGAGAGGUAAGGACCAUUGCGAUGUUCAUCUCCUUCUUCAUGAUGCCGGAUGCCUUGUCCCCGAAUGGGAUGGACAUAAGUUUGCCUUAACUGCUUUCUUUGCAUUCGUCUCUGCAAGUGUGGUUGUACUUUUAGUUUUGGCCGUUCUGGAUCAUUGCAGUGUGUCUUUUAGGAACAGUAGUGCGGCCGGAGGACCCUAUUUUGAUUCCAAUCUGAGAGUCAUUAUUUUAUUAUAUAUGUUUAAUCCAUUUUUCCGUGGUAUUACUGUGUCAUGCUAUGCUUCUUUGUGGCUAAUUCUCCCUUUAUUUCUCCCGUUCUUUGAUAUCUCCACCAAGCAUUCUGAAUUGUUGUCUUUGGCUAGUGAAUUAGGUGGAAAUUUUUAUUUUUUAACUUUGGGGUUACCAUUAAACUAAAUAAU
RNAcentral lists this long non-coding RNA (1190 nucleotides) under Canis lupus familiaris (dog). Its description in RNAcentral is "lncRNA (ENSCAFG00845003469.1)". The record is from RNAcentral. Lineage: Eukaryota; Metazoa; Chordata; Mammalia; Carnivora; Canidae.